This 513-nucleotide ribosomal RNA is filed under the name uncultured bacterium. RNAcentral describes it as "partial 16S ribosomal RNA". It matches the Rfam family "Bacterial small subunit ribosomal RNA", at positions 28 to 523 of the family's 1533-position model. The record is from RNAcentral.
GAUGAACGCUGGCGGCGUGCCUAAUACAUGCAAGUCGAACGCGCAGCGAAAGGUGCUUGCACCUUUCAAGCGAGUGGCGAACGGGUGAGUAACACGUGGAUAACCUGCCUCAAGGCUGGGGAUAACACUUGGAAACAGAUGCUAAUACCGAAUAAAACUUAGUAUCGCAUGAUACAAAGUUAAAAGGCGCAACGGCGUCACCUAGAGAUGGAUCCGCGGUGCAUUAGUUAGGUUGUGGGGUAAAGGCUUACCAAGACGAUGAUGCAUAGCCGAGUUGAGAGACUGAUCGGCCACAUUGGGACUGAGACACGGCCCAAACUCCUACGGGAGGCUGCAGUAGGGAAUCUUCCACAAUGGGCGCAAGCCUGAUGGAGCAACGCCGCGUGUGCGAUGAAGGCUUUCGGGUCGUAAAGCACUGUUGUAUGGGAAGAAAUGCUAAAAUAGGGAAUGAUUUUAGUUUGACGGUACCAUACCAGAAAGGGACGGCUAAAUACGUGCCAGCAGCCGCAGUAA